UCUGUCUCAGCAAGUUGGUCUGCACCUGAUGGAGUGUAUGAUCGCUACAGAGUUACAUGUUCAAGUGGAUCAAAGGUAGGACCAAACACCCUCGAUGCUAAGGCGACCAUGUUUACCUGUACGGAUCUCCCAACUCCUGGAGCAAACUACACCAUCACAAUCACGACGUUGAGUGGGGAUAAAGAAAGCGAGCCAAGUCCAAUUACAAUUACAGCAUUGCCUUCCAAGGUUUCUGAAGUUACCGAGUCUGGAGCAACUAAGGACAACACCAACCGAUGUCACUCCUCAUACUGCAACUACUACUACUACUACUAUUACUACUACAACUACUACAACUACUACAACUACUACAACUACUACAUCAACUACUACAACAACUACCACUACUACUACUACUACAGCAACUACUACUCCUAGUUAUUAUACUACUAACACUACCACUCCUACUAAUUCUACUACUAACACUACUAUUCCUACUAAUUAUACUACUAACACCAUUACUCCUACUAAUGAUACUACUAACACUACUACAACUACUACUACUACUACUACUACUACUACUACUACUACUAUAACUACUACUCCUACUAAUUGUACUAUCAUUCUGUGGAUUUCCGUCUCGCUGCUCUACUUCGUUGUGUUCGGUUUGUUCUGUGUUGCCCUAAUCUACCGGAUGGAUACAAUAGCCUGAUGUACAUGUACCCAUGUUGCUAUCCGCAGUGACAACCAAACUGAAUGCACUGAAGAAGGUUGUAAGCCACGAAAGAGGUACAUCCAUGUCGUACGAUAGCCCAACCGAUGAAAAUUUACGGGACACUGUCCCAGCAGGAGACCAUCAGGACUUCGGCACUGUCAUAUCAUACAAUGACCUAAACAUUGAAGUGACGACGCCAUGCUAAGACAAGGAUCAUUUCAUGUUGCACCUAUAAAGCAAUUUAUUGUUUGAUAUAUUACUCAUUGCGGAUAUAGUAUCGAAAACAAUAUCGCUAGUGACAUUCGUUUGUCUCGCAAUGUAUGGUCAACAAGGGAUCUAAAAGAUCACGACGUUUCGUGUGCCGCUGCUACACUUCGUCAGGGGAUAAAAUUG
Molecule: RNA transcript, 1087 nt
Organism: Strongylocentrotus purpuratus (purple sea urchin)
Lineage: Eukaryota; Metazoa; Echinodermata; Echinoidea; Camarodonta; Strongylocentrotidae
Exons: 4
Source: RefSeq, a predicted model, not a curated record